GACGAACGCUGGCGGCGUGCUUAACACAUGCAAGUCGAACGAUGAAGAAGAGAAACGCGAACUUCGGUUCAAAUUUCACUUCGGAUUAGUGGCAGACGGGUGAGUAACGCGUGAGCAACCUACCUCUUACAAAGGGAUAGCCUCGGGAAACCGUGAUUAAUACCAUAUGACACAUUCAUAAGGCAUCUUAAGAAUGUUAAAGCUACGGCGGUAAGAGAUGGGCUCGCGUCCCAUUAGCUAGUUGGUGAGGUAACGGCCCACCGAGGCGACGAUGGGUAACCGGCCUGAGAGGGUGAACGGUCACAUUGGAACUGAGACACGGUCCAAACUCCUACGGGAGGCAGCAGUGGGGAAUAUUGCACAAUGGAGGGAACUCUGACGCAGCGACGCCGCGUGAGCGAUGAAGGAAUUCGUUUCGUAAAGCUCUGUUCUAUGGGAAGAAAAGGACUGUACCAUAGGAGAAAGCCCCGGCUAAAUACGUG
This 482-nucleotide ribosomal RNA is filed under the name uncultured bacterium. RNAcentral's name for it is "partial 16S ribosomal RNA". It matches the Rfam family "Bacterial small subunit ribosomal RNA", at positions 28 to 507 of the family's 1533-position model. The record is from RNAcentral.